This 468-nucleotide ribosomal RNA is filed under the name uncultured bacterium. RNAcentral's name for it is "partial 16S ribosomal RNA". It matches the Rfam family "Bacterial small subunit ribosomal RNA", at positions 28 to 507 of the family's 1533-position model. The record is from RNAcentral.
GACGAACGCUGGCGGCGUGCUUAACACAUGCAAGUCGAACGGAAACGCCCUGCUUUUGUGGCUUUCUCGAGUGGCGAACGGGUGAGUGACACGGGAGUAACCUGCCCUUCACUUUGGGAUUACGUCAUGACAUUGCGGCUAUUACCGGAUUGCAGAUUCUGCUGCAUGGUAGGCGUUUGAAAGUUUCGGCGGUUGGGGAUGUGCUCGCGGGUUAUGAGUUUGUUGGUGGGGUAGUGGCUUACCAAGGCUUCGAAGGGUACGCGGCCUGAGAGGGGGACCGGCCACCUUGGGACUGAGAUACGGCCCAGAGUCGUACGGGAGACAGCAGUGGGGAAUAUUGUACAAUGGGCGGAAGCCUGAUGCAGCAACGCGGCGUGCGGGAUGAUGGCCUUCGGGUAGUAAAGCGCUUUCGGCGGUGACGAAGCGUGAGUGACGGUACUGGAUAAAGAAGCACCGGCUAACUACGUG